UUCCGGUUGAUCCUGCCGGACCCUACUGCUAUCGGGGUGGGACUAAGACAUGCGAGUCGAGCGUCUCCAGCUAUGGUGAGACGCGGCAGACGGCUCAGUAACACGUGGCUAACCUACCCUCAGGACAGGGACAAACCCGGGAAACUGGGGCUAAUACCCGAUAGGCGAGGGCGCCUGGAAUGGUUCUUCACCCAAAGGGCUUUGGAAGCAUGCUUUUCAAAGUUGCCUGGGGAUGGGGCCGCGUCCGAUCAGGUUGUUGGUGAGGUAACGGCUCACCAAGCCUAUAACCGGUACGGGCCGUGAGAGCGGUAGCCCGGAGAUGGGCACUGAGACAAGGGCCCAGGCCCUACGGGGCGCAGCAGUCGCGAAAACUCCGCAAUGCACGAAAGUGUGACGGGGCUACCCCGAGUGCCGUCCGCUGAGGAUGGCUUUUCCUCGGUGUAACUAGCCGGGGGAAUAAGGAGAGGGCAAGACUGGUGUCAGCCGCCGCGGUAAUACCAGCUCUCCGAGUGGUAGGGAUGAUUAUUGGGCUUAAAGCGUCCGUAGCCGGCUUAGCAAGUCUCCUGUUAAAUUCAGCGACCUAAUCGUUGAGCCGCGGGAGAUACUACUAGGCUAGGAGGCGGGAGAGGUCGACGGUACUUCCGGGGUAGGGGUGAAAUCCUAUAAUCCCGGGCGGACCACCAGUGGCGAAGGCUGUUGACUAGAACGCGCUCGACGGUGAGGGACGAAAGCUGGGGGAGCGAACCGGAUUAGAUACCCGGGUAGUCCCAGCCGUAAACGAUGCGGGCUAGGUGUUGGGGUGGCUACGUGCCACUCCAGUGCCGCAGGGAAGCCAUUAAGCCCGCCGCCUGGGGAGUACGGCCGCAAGGCUGAAACUUAAAGGAAUUGGCGGGGGAGCACCACAAGGCGUGAAGCUUGCGGUUCAAUUGGAUUC
This 934-nucleotide ribosomal RNA is filed under the name uncultured archaeon. RNAcentral describes it as "bacterial SSU rRNA". It matches the Rfam family "Archaeal small subunit ribosomal RNA", at positions 1 to 913 of the family's 1478-position model. The record is from RNAcentral.